This 117-nucleotide ribosomal RNA is filed under the name Enterocloster bolteae 90B8. Lineage: Bacteria; Bacillati; Bacillota; Clostridia; Lachnospirales; Lachnospiraceae. The record is from RNAcentral.
UGGUGCCGAUGCGCUUAGGGGAAACACCCGUACCCAUCCCGAACACGAUGGUUAAGACCUAAGCGGCCGAUGGUACUAUGCUGGAGACGGCAUGGGAGAGCAGGUGGCUGCCGGAUU